RNAcentral lists this ribosomal RNA (98 nucleotides) under bacterium. The record is from RNAcentral.
AGGUCACACCCGUUCCCAUCCCGAACACGGCAGUUAAGCUCUCCAGGGCCGAUGAUACUGCGUGGGCAACUGCGUGGGAGAGUAGGACGCCGCGGGAA